CAAAAUCAGCAUUUGAAGCUUAAAAUAUAGCCCAAAUCUAGUAUUGUGUAGUUUGUUUUAAAUCUCAUCAGACCCUGUGUUGUAGAGGCUCUGAGGUUAUAACUGAAUAACUAUCUGCGUCAUCAUAUCGCAGACUUGCAGUUCUUCACUCGCCUUUAGAGAAAAGAAUAUUAAAAGAGGGUUUUUCCGAGGUUUAAUCAUCCAAGUGGAAACACUGCAACUAUCUGCUCAGGAGGACAACAUAUACAUCCGGCUCUGACGUGGAUAGAGAUCACAAUCAGGAGAAAGGGGAUCUUACCAGCACAUACUUAGAAUACCUUUCACUAUCUUUUUUCUUUCAAUCUUUCAGCUAUAGAGGACUAAAGAGGAGGUCUGGGGGAGGGUUAAAGAAGAGAGGAGGAGCAGACAGGAACAAAAAAGGAGACAGUGAAGCAGAGAGAGAGACAGAGAGAAGAGGACCAGUGAGAGUGAUACACAUGAUCAGAGACUGCUGUUUAAAGAUGGAUUUAGGUUUGCUUCAAGCACUGGAGAGAGAAAGAGUCCUGGAGGUUCUUCAGAGAGACAAACAGCUGCGUACCAUUGAAGAGGACAGGAUAAGGAGGAUGAAGUAUGAGCUGCAGGAACUUCGAAGGAGAGGUGCAAAAAGUUUUGCCCGGCAGUAUGGCGAGCGGACCUGUGCCCGCUGUCAGAGGCCGCUGGGAAAGUUUUGGAACUCGGGCGCAGUCUGCCACAGCUGCAGCCACCGCAUCUGCAGCAAGUGCCGCGUGGGCGUGGGAGCGGCGGGCUGGAAGUGCACGGUCUGCCACGCCUACAGGGAGGUGAAGUUCAAGUCUGGAGACUGGUUCUUAGAGGAGAGGGCAAAGAAAUUUCCAGUCACUAUAGACAAAUAUGAAAUGGUUGGGGAGAGAUUAUUAAAGACCUACCAUGUGCUGAGUCAUAUAUCAGUUGUGCCUCCCACUCCUCCACCCCACUUGGAUUAUCAGUUUCUGAGCAGAUCCGGGGAUUUGAAGAACUCAAAACCUUUUACCAAAUCUAUGGAGGAUCUAAUGGUGUCCUUCACAAGUCAUAUUAAAAAGAUUUCCACUUCUCAGAAUGAUGUGCGAGGAGACCUGCUGAGAGUCAACAACAGUCGGAGAGGGUCGUGCUACAGCACCCAGAAGAGUCUCUCUGAAACAGACAUCAACAAAUCUAGCAAUCUCUUUAAAGGCCCCAGUCUUCCAAACCUGUUCAAGAAAAGCAAAGACAGCGACCAGGAAGGCUCUUCUACUGGGGCGGAAGAAGAAACAUCGUGCGGUUCUGAGUACUCUGGAGGAAAGAGAGGCAGCAGCAGUAGCAGCAUCAGCACAGACUGCGGCCCCUUCGAGAGCAUCAGCAUAGCAGGAGAGCUGGAGCUGGCUCUGGCCUACAACACCAACACUUCCUGUCUGGAGAUCACAGUCGGCGCCUGCAGAAAUCUCAACUACGGAGACACCAAGAGAAAGAAAUGUCACCCAUGCGUCAAACUCUACAUGCUGCCAGGAAAAAGCGGCAAAAUGAAGACGACAGUCAAGAAAAACACGACUGAUCCGGUUUAUAAUGAAGUUUUAAAGUAUCACGUGGAGCGCCACCUGCUGUUUGGAAAGAGACUGCAGGCCACUGUGUGGCAUUCAGGAACCCUAAAAAGGAAGGUGUUUCUCGGUGAGGUCCUUGUCCCGCUGGACGGCUGGAGAUUUGAGGACAAGGACUCCCAGCGCUUCAACUGGUACCCACUUUGUCAGAAGGCUGAGAGUCCAGAGGGCGGCGCUGUGGAGCAGGACGGAGGAGAACUGCUGGUUAGAGUCAAGCUCAGCUCCAACAACCAGGGUGUCUGACUCUGGGAGUAGGCAGAGAGCUCAUCCAGACAACGCCCAUUUCUAAAGGGUGAGACCGAGCUGAGGACGGCUAAGCUGAGAAGCUGUGGCCCCUCCUGCCCCUCUGAGGGACCCCCAAGGAGGGGCUCAAAUAGACCCUGGGUCACCAUGGCAACCGGUGUUGGAUGCCCCAACAGGUGGAGUGACGUCAGCUUCACUGUUUGUCGCCCAACGUCAGGAGAACAUGACAGCAUUCAGCGCCUCUUCCCAACAACAGACUCAGCACUUUAACAUGUUUAUAGUGCAGUAUUUAUAUUGUAAAUUGUAAAUAAAAUAGUCAGCAUUCAUUCAGUUAACAUCAUGCACAUACGUUUGUAAAGAAAUGUUAUUUAUCUGUCAAACUAAAUCAUUUUACAAUUAAAAGUAAUUAAAGCGGCUAUAUGUAA
Molecule: RNA transcript, 2275 nt
Organism: Perca fluviatilis (European perch)
Lineage: Eukaryota; Metazoa; Chordata; Actinopteri; Perciformes; Percidae
Gene: sytl3
Gene name: synaptotagmin-like 3
Exons: 14
Source: RefSeq, a predicted model, not a curated record